AUGAAUUGGAUUAUGAUCCAAAAUGUACCACUACUACUACAAACACAACUACAACUACAAAUACAAAUAAAAAUACAAAUAAAAAAUACAACUACAAAUACAGUUACAAAUUUGUUUGAUUCAAAUGAAAAUGUAUCGAUUGAUAGUGUUAUGUCAUCGCAUGGACAUAUUUCUAUCUCUACCAAUUCUAAUGAAUAUAAUGACUUCAACGAAAUAGAGAGUAAUUUACAUAUGGAUAACAUACACAAUGGAUUUAAUAGUAGUAAAAAAAAUUAUAUUAAUAAUAUAAUACCACCAAUUAAUAAUAAAAAGAUUACAAAUCCUAAUUUUAUACCUUUAGGAAAAAAUAAAAAUUUAUUUACUGAUCCAUUAUUAAAUACAAAAAACAUAUAUGAUCCUACAAAAGUUCUAAAUGUUGAAAAUGGAAUUGAUACAAAUACGAAUAUAAUAAAUAAUAUAAAUAAUAAUAAUGAAAACAUAAAUCCUGAUAUACAUAUCAAUAUAAAUAACAACUUUCCCAAUAUAAAGAAUAACUUUCCCAAUAUAAAUAACAGCUAUGAAUGCCCAACAGUUACCAUUAACUCAGCCAAUGGGCAUUGACCCCGUGUUUAUGCAAGAAUGGUCACAAAUGCUCAUGAAUUAUUCGGAAAAUCUUUUAUCCCACGCACCUGCUCCCGAUACUAACCCUCCUCCUCUACCAUCAGAAAAUAUAAACAAUGAUGAUGAACAAAAUGUCACGUAAAAAAAAAAAAAAAAAAAAAAAAAAAAAAAAAAAAAAAAAAAAAAAGCUAAGGCGAUCUGGCUACAACAAGAUAUCGCGAGAUUAUAUAUAAAUAUAUAUACACACAUAGACUAAUUAAAUAAUUCAUGGUUCCUUUAUUUACAUAGGAAAAAAAAAAAAAAACAUACACACAUACAUACAUACAUACAUACAUACAUACAUAUACAUACGUACGAAAACAUCAAUGACUAUUUUUACGCUUUCGCUUUUUUUCUUUCUGUUAAAUGCUCUAAUAGCUUAAUUUUGAUUUUUUAGUACAUAUAUACAACAUUUUUGAAAUAUUCAUAUAUAUAUAUAUAUAUAUAUAUAUAUAUAGCGUUACUGCUAUUGCCACUAUACCAACAAAACAUUACUACCAUUAUUAGCAUUGUAUAGUAUUCAUGUUAGUAAUGUAUAAUACAAAAUUUUGUUUAGUUAUAGUUAACACACGACAAUGGAGAUCCCUAUCAUUUUAACGGUUUUAGUAACAUGUUAAUAAUUUGUUUUGAAACUUUUUUUUUUUAUUUCAUUUACUAAAUUUAUGUUUUUAUAUAUAGUAGGAAAUUUAGUAUAUAACCAACAGUAUAAAUCUACAAUUUCGUAAUAAACUUCCAACAUUUUAAUAUAGUUAUCCA
RNAcentral lists this long non-coding RNA (1395 nucleotides) under Piliocolobus tephrosceles (Ugandan red Colobus). RNAcentral describes it as "lncRNA (ENSPTEG00000002453.1)". Lineage: Eukaryota; Metazoa; Chordata; Mammalia; Primates; Cercopithecidae. The record is from RNAcentral.